This 496-nucleotide ribosomal RNA is filed under the name uncultured bacterium. RNAcentral describes it as "partial 16S ribosomal RNA". It matches the Rfam family "Bacterial small subunit ribosomal RNA", at positions 28 to 506 of the family's 1533-position model. The record is from RNAcentral.
GAUGAACGCUGGCGGCGUGCCUAAUACAUGCAAGUCGAGCGAACGGACGAGAAGCUUGCUUCUCUGAUGUUAUCGGCGGACGGGUGAGUAACACGUGGAUAACCUACCUAUAAGACUGGGAUAACUUCGGGAAACCGGAGCUAAUACCGGAUAAUAUUUUGAACCGCAUGGUUCAAAAGUGAAAGACGGUCUUGCUGUCACUUAUAGAUGGAUCCGCGCUGCAUUAGCUAGUUGGUAAGGUAACGGCUUACCAAGGCAACGAUGCAUAGCCGACCUGAGAGGGUGACCGGCCACACUGGAACUGAGACACGGUCCAGACUCCGACGGGAGGCAGCAGUAGGGAAUCUGCCGCAAUGGGCGAAAGCCUGACGGAGCAACGCCGCGUGAGUGAUGAAGGUCUUCGGAUCGUAAAACUCUGUUAUUAGGGAAGAACAUAUGUGUAAGUAACUGUGCACAUCUUGACGGUACCUAAUCAGAAAGCCACGGCUAACUACGU